RNAcentral lists this transfer RNA (64 nucleotides) under Potamilus alatus. Its description in RNAcentral is "tRNA-Leu". The record is from RNAcentral. Lineage: Eukaryota; Metazoa; Mollusca; Bivalvia; Unionida; Unionidae. RNAcentral also lists the same sequence under 1 other name.
AGUGAAGUGGCAGAAAAGUGCCUCAGAUUUAAGCUCUGAUCAAGGAGAACACCUCCCUUUACUA